GACUCUUAUGUGCUGGGAAACCCUCCUAAGUCCCAUGCUAGCAGUGUGCACUGGGACUGUUGUUCAUCUUAGAAAUCUCAUGCCUUGGAGCUCAUCUGCCUAGGACUCCUGUCCUACGUGGUUCCACAGCCUUCAGCACCUCCAUGGAGUGCAGGCAUAUGGAAAAAUGACAAAAGUUUUGAUAACUUCCUUGGGCUGUUUCCCUGGAGACCAUGAUGAUAAUGGCCCUAACAGCUUUCUGGCCCCUGCUGGUAGAUCAUCUGAGAAUGGAUGCAGAGAUCUUUCACAGUCUCAGAAGUACCUAUAGCAGACAUAUUUAGUAGGUCCUGGAGGAGAUGGAGAAAUCUCUAUCCAUCAAAAAAUGACAAACACUGAAUGAGUUUUACAAGUCGACU
Phyllostomus discolor (pale spear-nosed bat) is the source of this 395-nucleotide long non-coding RNA. RefSeq lists it as uncharacterized. The record is from RefSeq and is a predicted model, not a curated record. The transcript is spliced from 4 exons. Lineage: Eukaryota; Metazoa; Chordata; Mammalia; Chiroptera; Phyllostomidae.